RNAcentral lists this ribosomal RNA (499 nucleotides) under uncultured bacterium. RNAcentral describes it as "partial 16S ribosomal RNA". It matches the Rfam family "Bacterial small subunit ribosomal RNA", at positions 28 to 507 of the family's 1533-position model. The record is from RNAcentral.
GACGAACGCUGGCGGCGUGCCUAAUACAUGCAAGUCGAGCGAAGUUUUUCUGGUGCUUUCACUAUAAAGACUUAGCGUCGAACGGGUGAGUAACACGUAAAGAACCUGCCUCAUAGGCUGGGACAACUGUUGGAAACGAUAGCUAAUUCCGGAUAACAGUAUUUCUCGCAUGAGAGAUAUUUAACAGUUGUUUAUGCUAACACUAUGCGGUUGCUUUGUGUUGCAUUAGCUAGUUGGCGGGGUAAAGGCCCACCAAGGCGACGAUGCAUAGCCGACCUGAGAGGGUGAUCAGCCACACUGGAACUGAGACACGGUCCAGACUCCUACGGGAGGCAGCAGUAGGGAAUAUUCGGCAAUGGGCGAAAGCCUGACGCAGCAACGCCGCGUGAGUGAAGAAGGAUUUCGGUUCGUAAAGCUCUGUUGUUAGGGAAGAAAAGAUAUGUAGUAACAAUACAUGGAAGUGACGGUACCUAAAGAGAAAGCAACGGCUAACUACGUG